UAGUGGCGAACGGGUGAGUAACACGUGGGCAAUCUGCCCUUCACUCUGGGACAAGCCCUGGAAACGGGGUCUAAUACCGGAUACGACCACCGACCGCAUGGUCUGGUGGUGGAAAGCUCCGGCGGUGAAGGAUGAGCCCGCGGCCUAUCAGCUUGUUGGUGGGGUGAUGGCCUACCAAGGCGACGACGGGUAGCCGGCCUGAGAGGGCGACCGGCCACACUGGGACUGAGACACGGCCCAGACUCCUACGGGAGGCAGCAGUGGGGAAUAUUGCACAAUGGGCGAAAGCCUGAUGCAGCGACGCCGCGUGAGGGAUGACGGCCUUCGGGUUGUAAACCUCUUUCAGCAGGGAAGAAGCGAGAGUGACGGUACCUGCAGAAGAAGCGCCGGCUAACUACGUGCCAGCAGCCGCGGUAAUACGUAGGGCGCAAGCGUUGUCCGGAAUUAUUGGGCGUAAAGAGCUCGUAGGCGGCUUGUCACGUCGGAUGUGAAAGCCCGGGGCUUAACCCCGGGUCUGCAUUCGAUACGGGCAGGCUAGAGUUCGGUA
Molecule: ribosomal RNA, 547 nt
Filed under: Streptomyces sp. 303A09
Lineage: Bacteria; Bacillati; Actinomycetota; Actinomycetes; Kitasatosporales; Streptomycetaceae
Description: bacterial SSU rRNA
Rfam family: Bacterial small subunit ribosomal RNA
Source: RNAcentral